UACGAAGGGGGCUAGCGUUGCUCGGAAUCACUGGGCGUAAAGGGUGCGUAGGCGGGUCUUUAAGUCAGGGGUGAAAUCCUGGAGCUCAACUCCAGAACUGCCUUUGAUACUGAAGAUCUUGAGUGCGGGAGAGGUGAGUGGAACUGCGAGUGUAGAGGUGAAAUUCGUAGAUAUUCGCAAGAACACCAGUGGCGAAGGCGACUCACUGGCCCGAUACUGACGCUGAGGCACGAAAGCGUGGGGAGCAAACAGG
RNAcentral lists this ribosomal RNA (253 nucleotides) under uncultured bacterium. RNAcentral's name for it is "partial 16S ribosomal RNA". It matches the Rfam family "Bacterial small subunit ribosomal RNA", at positions 524 to 776 of the family's 1533-position model. The record is from RNAcentral.